This 1552-nucleotide ribosomal RNA is filed under the name Staphylococcus aureus. RNAcentral describes it as "16S ribosomal RNA". It matches the Rfam family "Bacterial small subunit ribosomal RNA". Lineage: Bacteria; Bacillati; Bacillota; Bacilli; Caryophanales; Staphylococcaceae. The record is from RNAcentral.
UUUAUGGAGAGUUUGAUCCUGGCUCAGGAUGAACGCUGGCGGCGUGCCUAAUACAUGCAAGUCGAGCGAACGGACGAGAAGCUUGCUUCUCUGAUGUUAGCGGCGGACGGGUGAGUAACACGUGGAUAACCUACCUAUAAGACUGGGAUAACUUCGGGAAACCGGAGCUAAUACCGGAUAAUAUUUUGAACCGCAUGGUUCAAAAGUGAAAGACGGUCUUGCUGUCACUUAUAGAUGGAUCCGCGCUGCAUUAGCUAGUUGGUAAGGUAACGGCUUACCAAGGCAACGAUGCAUAGCCGACCUGAGAGGGUGAUCGGCCACACUGGAACUGAGACACGGUCCAGACUCCUACGGGAGGCAGCAGUAGGGAAUCUUCCGCAAUGGGCGAAAGCCUGACGGAGCAACGCCGCGUGAGUGAUGAAGGUCUUCGGAUCGUAAAACUCUGUUAUUAGGGAAGAACAUAUGUGUAAGUAACUGUGCACAUCUUGACGGUACCUAAUCAGAAAGCCACGGCUAACUACGUGCCAGCAGCCGCGGUAAUACGUAGGUGGCAAGCGUUAUCCGGAAUUAUUGGGCGUAAAGCGCGCGUAGGCGGUUUUUUAAGUCUGAUGUGAAAGCCCACGGCUCAACCGUGGAGGGUCAUUGGAAACUGGAAAACUUGAGUGCAGAAGAGGAAAGUGGAAUUCCAUGUGUAGCGGUGAAAUGCGCAGAGAUAUGGAGGAACACCAGUGGCGAAGGCGACUUUCUGGUCUGUAACUGACGCUGAUGUGCGAAAGCGUGGGGAUCAAACAGGAUUAGAUACCCUGGUAGUCCACGCCGUAAACGAUGAGUGCUAAGUGUUAGGGGGUUUCCGCCCCUUAGUGCUGCAGCUAACGCAUUAAGCACUCCGCCUGGGGAGUACGACCGCAAGGUUGAAACUCAAAGGAAUUGACGGGGACCCGCACAAGCGGUGGAGCAUGUGGUUUAAUUCGAAGCAACGCGAAGAACCUUACCAAAUCUUGACAUCCUUUGACAACUCUAGAGAUAGAGCCUUCCCCUUCGGGGGACAAAGUGACAGGUGGUGCAUGGUUGUCGUCAGCUCGUGUCGUGAGAUGUUGGGUUAAGUCCCGCAACGAGCGCAACCCUUAAGCUUAGUUGCCAUCAUUAAGUUGGGCACUCUAAGUUGACUGCCGGUGACAAACCGGAGGAAGGUGGGGAUGACGUCAAAUCAUCAUGCCCCUUAUGAUUUGGGCUACACACGUGCUACAAUGGACAAUACAAAGGGCAGCGAAACCGCGAGGUCAAGCAAAUCCCAUAAAGUUGUUCUCAGUUCGGAUUGUAGUCUGCAACUCAACUACAUGAAGCUGGAAUCGCUAGUAAUCGUAGAUCAGCAUGCUACGGUGAAUACGUUCCCGGGUCUUGUACACACCGCCCGUCACACCACGAGAGUUUGUAACACCCGAAGCCGGUGGAGUAACCUUUUAGGAGCUAGCCGUCGAAGGUGGGACAAAUGAUUGGGGUGAAGUCGUAACAAGGUAGCCGUAUCGGAAGGUGCGGCUGGAUCACCUCCUUU